RNAcentral lists this unclassified non-coding RNA (568 nucleotides) under Hevea brasiliensis (rubber tree). Lineage: Eukaryota; Viridiplantae; Streptophyta; Magnoliopsida; Malpighiales; Euphorbiaceae. The record is from RNAcentral.
AGCAAAGAAAAUUUGAGACAAUUUUAUUCAAAGAAGUUUAUGAUGAAGUAGUUGAAAUCAAGGAAUUGACAGGCUGUCUUAAUGCUCCCGUGGUUUUUUCUCACAAUGACUUGCUUUCAGGGAAUCUGAUGCUUAAUGAAGAUGAAGAUAAACUCUACUUCAUUGAUUUUGAGUACGGAUCAUACAGUUACAGAGGUUUUGACAUUGGAAAUCACUUCAAUGAAUAUGCGGGUUAUGAUUGUGACUACAGCUUAUACCCAAGUAAAGAAGAACAAUAUCAUUUCUUCAGGCAUUAUUUACAACCUGAAAAACCGCAUGAGGUUUCUGACAAGGACCUUGAAGCUCUAUAUAUAGAGACGAAUACUUUCGCAUUAGCUUCACACUUAUUCUGGGCUUUAUGGGCACUAAUCCAGGCAAAGAUGUCCCCAAUUGAUUUUGAUUAUCUUGACUAUUUCUUCCUGCGAUACAAUGAAUACAAAAGGCAGAAGGAAAAUAGUUGUUCACUGGCACGUUCUUACCUCUCAAGAUGUGGGAGUGGAUAGUUUUCUGGUCAUUUUCAGUUUUUUCA